Molecule: ribosomal RNA, 421 nt
Filed under: uncultured bacterium
Lineage: Bacteria
Description: partial 16S ribosomal RNA
Rfam family: Bacterial small subunit ribosomal RNA
Source: RNAcentral
AAUAUUGGACAAGGGGGGUAACGCUGAUCCAGCCAUGCCGCGUGUGUGAAGAAGGUCUNCGGAUUNUNAAGCACUUUACGCUGGGNGGAAGGGCAGUAAGUUAAUACCUUGCUGUUUUGACGUUACCGACAGAAUAAGCACCGGCUAACUUCGUCCCAGCAGCCGCGGUAAUACAGAGGGUGCAAGCGUUAAUCGGAAUUACUGGGCGUAAAGCGCGCGUAGGUGGUUCAGUAAGAUGGGUGUGAAAUCCCCGGGCUUAAGCUGGGAACUGCUUUCAUAACUGCUGAGCUAGAGUACGGUAGAGGGUAGUGGAAUUUCCUGUGUAGCGGUGAAAUGCGUAGAUAUAGGAAGGAACACCAGUGGCGAAGGCGACCACCUGGGCUAAUACUGACACUGAGGUGCGAAAGCAUGGGGAGCAAAC